Non-coding RNA from Podarcis lilfordi (Lilford's wall lizard), 8669 nucleotides. Lineage: Eukaryota; Metazoa; Chordata; Lepidosauria; Squamata; Lacertidae. The record is from the annotation of a GenBank genome assembly.
UAGGCUAUUUGAUAAAUCCAGUUUCUGGAGUGAAGCGGUGUGAAGUCUGUUGCCCAGCUGUGCCACAGAGAUGGCGAGUGAAUCUGUUUUGGGGACUGGUCUCGCCUCUGAUUGUUGCUGUUGGUGGGGAAGUUGUUAAAAACGUUUUAAUGGGGUUUUCCACAGGCCUCCUUUCCUGUGGGUCCUGAUGAUGACAGUGCAAUCUGUGUCUCUCAGAUAAAGGGAGGGGGAAGGCUUUAGAAACCAGAACUGCGGAAGCGUUAUCUUAUCAGUCAUGUUCACUGUGGAUUUCCUACACACUGUGAGGCCCUGAAAUAUAUCCCUGGCAAGGCAACUGAGCUGAAGAGUCAAUGGGUCUCCAAAACUGCAAUAACUGUGGGUGAUAAAGGAUCGCCGUCCUGACAAAGAAGCCAAAGGUCGGGGGAAAGCCACAAGACCAGCCACUGCUGAGCCUCUUCGGCUUCUACAGCCCAGCAAACCCCAAAGUUGUUCUGGCAAUGGUAAGAGCAUCUCAGCCAGAAGCAGCUGGGCAGGGAUGCAGGGAGGAAAGGCGAAGGGGAUACUACAGGCCUUGCUGCCUCAUGGAAGUUAUGAGGUGGGUGAGGCCUUUGCUGUUUCUGUGAAGAGGCAAUUAAACACAGAGCGGGGGAAAGGCUAUGAGAGUUGUGUGCUAUUUUUCUAGUGCCCACAGAGAAUGAGAACUAGUGUGGUAUUGCAGAGAACUAUAGAUAAAGAACCCCCUUUGUCUGAGGUGGAGUGAAUACUGGCCAGAGGGGGUGAAGGCCUUGACCUGCUACCAUGUCUGUCACCCACAGGGUGAAAUCUUCCUCAGUAUCUAGUUAGGUUAUUUGGUUUAUACUUUACUUUGCCCUGGAAAAGGUGACGAAGCAUCCAUUUGAUUAGAGCAGGGGUAGGCAACCUAAGGUCUGUGGGCCGGAUGCAGACCAAUCGCCUUCUCAAUCCAGCCCACUGACAGUCUGGGAAUCAGCAUGUUUUUACAUGAAUAGAAUGUGCUCUUUUAUUUAAAAUGCAUCUCUGGGUUAUUUGUGGGGCCUGCCUGGUGUUUUUACAUGAGUAGAAUAUGUGCUUUUAUUUAAAAUGCAUCUCUGGGUUAUUUGUGGGGCAUAAGAAUUUGUUCAUUCCCCCCCCCCCCAAAAAAAAUAUUCCGGCCCACCACAUGGUCUGAGGGACAGUGGACCGGCCCACGACUGAAAAAGGUUGCUGACCCCUGGAUUAGAGUAUGGUGACUGUAUAUUAUAAUGAGAUAUUCUGACAGGGUCUACCCUGCAGUUAUUAAAGUAGUGAAUGUAUAGACCAAGAAAAUUUGAUCUGAACCACAACAUUCAAGCUCUCAGACAGCUACCAUUCAACACAAUUCAUGUCCUUGUUUAAUACUGUAGCUGUCCAUGGAGUAUGUAGAAAUGACAAAACUUACUGGAAAAACAAGAAAUCAAGACAACAAACUUUUUAGAAAGGAAUGGAAAUGGUUUAUGGAGCAUUUAGAAACAAACUGUAAACAGAUCAAGACAUUGGCAGGAUUAUUGUAAAAGCCUGCAAUAUAUAUAUAUAUAUAUAUAUGGAAAGGACGAAAAUAAAUGUACGGAACCGCAGAAAGAGGGGGAAGGGAGUCAAAGUUGAAAAUGUUAAAAUUAUGGUUAAAUAAUUGUUGUAAUGUAGAUAAAUGAAAUAAUAAUAAUAAUAAUAAUAAUAAUGAUGAUGAUGAUGAUGAUGAUGUAACUGCCAUCUCCAGUGUAUAACUAUAAAAAUAUGUAAUGGUUUUAACAAAAGCAAUGGACUUUGUGUGGAUUGAAAAUAAUACGUAGGAAACUGGUAUAGCUUGCAGGCUAAGAGUGGUUUAAGAAGUUCCAGGUUUCUGUACAAACUUAUUCAGAAGAAGGAAACCCUUGAGUUCAGUGGGGCUUUGUCCCAUGUGGGUAAUUAUGGGAUUGCAACCUUUUUAGUCAAACCAUUACCUCUCGGAUUCUCCCUCUAUCUAUAAUAUAGCCGAUCUUACAAGGCAUUCGUUUGUUAAUGUUUGUGAAGUGGCUGGAACAUCUGAAGCACACUACUGUAUCUAAAAUCUGGAAAUAAAUUCAGUCCAUUCUGAAACAGCAAAGUUGUCACCAUUUAUUGAAUUCUGUAUCUUCAGUGCUGUCAGAGAAAUGUAAUGCUUUCCAGUUGCAUCUAUAGUAACAAUUGAGACAGCAAAAAUUCUCAUGCUGGUCAUAUAUAAUUGAGGGUGCUUGGUGACACAUAAAGUUCAAUCCUGAUGUGGCACUCCCAGCCACCCUUAAAAAAAAUCUGUCUGCUUUGGAGCAGGGCAAACAAAAUGGACACCCAUAAUACAAAAUGGACACCCAUAGUCUAGUCAAGCAGCAGCAAAAAUCCAAUAGCUCUGUUUUUACUUUUAAAAUAUAAUGUAAUCAUUUAUAUUAAUUUAAGUAACUAUGUAAGUAUAGUUCUAUAGAACGUAUGCUGACUUGUGGAUCAGUGGUUAUGGAAGUGAUAGCAGUGAUAGCAGUGAUCCACUUCACCCUUUCAGUACUCAACCCUUUCGCAUAGCUUCACACAUUGCAUUUGGGUUACACAUAGGCAUCUGGUUGGCUACCAUGAGAACAGGAUGCUGGACUAGAUAGGCCAACAGGAUCUUGUUACAUCCUUAUUGAGAUGACCUGCUGUGCUUGCUCAUGGCUCAAAUCCUUCUUCAGAAAAAAAUGGAGGUGCGUAACAUCAGUCCCUGUGUUUGGCUGGCAGUAUGAAGCCUUUGCAUUGGCCAACAUACUGAAAUCUUUGCCUUCUGUCCAGGGCCAACCCAUGACAUUUUGCUGCCUGAGACAAAGUACAAGAUGGCGUUCUCCCCUCCCACAGCUCUACCAAUGUACAGAAACUGACUGGACUGGCAGCUGAAUUUGGUGAUGGGAUAGUGCCCAUCCAUGCACCUGAGAGCAGCAGUCUGGUGUAGGAGGUAAACAACAAGCACUGAAAUAAUCUUUCUUUCAAUGUAGUGGAACAGCCAGGCACCUAUACAGCUCUUGCUGUACAGCAAAGUUAGCCAUGGUGGUAUCCUCCAGAUGCUGCUGGACUCCAACUCCCAUCAGUCCCAGCCAGCAUGUCCAAUGAUCAUUGAUAAUGGUUGUAGUCCAGCAAAAUAUGGAGGGCAUCAUGUUGGCUUUUCCUGCCCUAGAGCUUCUGCUGUAUGUCUAAUGGUAAGGCUGCUCCUGCUUUUCUCUUUGCUUUGUUAAUUAAAUAGUACACCCCCACCUUAAGCCAUUUGACUUGGGAGAUCCUGUGCUAAAGAACAUCCCCUCUGUUAAAGUCAUAUGUUUAAUAUGCAUAGAAUAUUAUGCUUGUACGCAUUGAAGUUAAAAUGCUAUGCAGAGAGGUUUGCAUUAGGCAAGCGAGGUUUGUCUUUAGUAAAUGUGGCAAUAAAAGGCUUGAUGUUUCUGUUUCAGUCUUUAGGCUAAUCAAUGAUUGCAGGGGAAACCCAAGGGAUCUCUCACAGCAGGAAGGUGAAACUUGAGAACUUAGCGUUUUAGUUAGUCCUUACAGCCAGCGGCAGUAGAAGCUCAGCUCAGUGAUCCUGAGCAAUCAAGAUGCUUGGAUAGGAUCUCUCUCUCUCUUAGACUAGAGAGAGGAGAGUUUUUGGACUGUAAUAAGGACUAAAAAGAAGACUGGGCCACAUUGCUAGUUUGUUAAAUUGCAAUGUAUUACUUUGUAUUUUUGCAAUGUUUUAUUUUGUAACUAGCCUAAGACAGUUUUGCAGUAAAACUUUUGAAACUCGUUCAUUUCUACACUGCAUAAGGUACAGAGCAGUCAUUCCACUUGUAACAACUUUUAACGCCCUUUAAAAUAGAUUCAGUUAUGGUUGCCCUCAAUCCCGGCAUUACCUGGAGUGCAAGAUUGCAGUUUUGAGGUGGAUGGAUGGGGAAAACACACUCUGGGUUUUUAUGGAGCAAACGUCACUCCCCCCAUUUUCAUUAUACGGCACAAAUAUUUAAUAAGGUAUUUGCUCUGAUUAAACUUAUAAGGCAGAGCACAGCACAUUGGUUUCUGAUUCCCUUUCCUAAUUGUUAUUCAAGAGUGUAUGGACAUAUGUCUUGGCUGACCCUUCUUGAUUCUGCCUGUAGGCAUCCCAGAUCGCUGUGUUUCUACAUUCUCCAGGGUCAUUUCUUUCACUUCUUUGGAACAUCAUUUCUGGAGCAGAUUGGGGAAUAGAGAUCUAUUAAGUUUCUAGCAGUUCUUUCACCUGGUUGGAACAGCCUGCUUGGCUACACACUAAAGGAUAAAAAGCCUGAUGGCCAUAAGGUCAAACUUUCAGAGAGAAUAAAGCAGGCUUGUGGUAUAAGCUGAAUAUUAAUGUCUAGACUGCUGCCUAUAUUGCAAGCAGAAUGCUACAGAUACUUAACUAACAGGGGCUGCUUGAAGUCCCACUGCUGAAAUUACCCUUGAAAAAUGGCAAGGAAUAUCAGAGUUAAAGGAUUCAUUUGCAUUCCUUGCCCUACUGUUUUGUUCUUAACAUCAUUGCUUUUUUGUUUUAUACUUAAUAUUGAAUUAUUAUUGCUGUUUAUUUUUAUAUCGUCUUUUUUGCUCCAAGGAGCCCCAAGUAUACCUCCAAACAGGUUUUUAAAAAACCUUGCUGAGAAUUUCCCUUCCACAACCAUACCAUCAUCUGAAAUGGUACUUCUGAGCACAAGCUCUGUGCAGAAGGACCUUCCUUUUCUCUAACUGUGUGACUUUUAAAUGGACCAAAACACAGUUUUCUAGGAAACACCUUUAUGCUACAGAUAAUCACCAUAACACAACAUUUUUCAGAGAGGUAGCUGUGUUAAUCUGAUGCACCAAAAACAAAGAAGAAUCUUGUGGUACCAAUGUAGACUAACCAAUUUUAUUACAACAUAAGGUUUUGUGGACUAGAGCUCACUUCAUUGUAUGCCUUUUAUUUCAGAACCACCACAGUUCCACAGAUGUUGGUGAAAGAUGUCAUCAAUCCCCAGAGCCCUUGUUUUUCUAAAAAAAAAAGAUAAUAGUAAUCUCUCAUCCUCUGUAACACAAGAGGUUUAAGGGAAGUGUGAGGACCAUAGCAGGAGGCUGCUGUCUCAUAUUUCUUACCUGUUGCAAUACAUUUGUUUUUUUCACCAGAUUGUGUACCAGCAGACAUGAAAAUCGAUAAGGCUACCAUCUGGUGUGCAAGGCAAUGUAAAACAUGCUUACCUGACGAACUUUGACCACCUGCACCCACUAGAAAAUAUUUCUAUUCAUUAGUGUUUAAUAUUUUUCGGUUCUUCACAAAUAUAGAUCAGCGACACUGAUGUUUGCAAAUCUACAGCAGUCUUUUUAAAGUUUCAGUUCACUUAUAGAGCAUUUUGUUCUGGUGCUUGCAGAAGUGGGGAACAUACUAAUGGGUUGUUGUGUGUGAAUGAAGAAAACAUGGUACAAAAUUGACCUGAAAUUCGAGAAAGAACAAACAGGAUAUUUUUGGUUUGGUCUUUUUAUUUAUACACAUAGUAUAAUCUGAGUGAGAUUUGAAAACGUGUAUGCUAGAGUAAGUAUAUAUUUUUUCCUUUGGCAGAUUCAUAAUGCUACUUUAGUAUCCCGCAGAGGGAUUUGACUAGCUUGAUUAGUUUUUAAUUUUUUAAAGCUGAGUAAGAGAUUGGAAUACUUCAGAGAUGCCAUGUGGCUUUGUAAAAAUCCUACUAAAAUUUGAAAUGCAUGAACCGAGACAGCAGAACAUCACACCCUGUUAGUGUAAUAUUUCUGUUGUAAAGAAUAUAAUUUUGAUUUAAUUGUAACUCGUGGAACUCCUGGAGCAUUGUGAAGGGGGCAGUCAUUUGUGAGUUGAAUUGCAAGUCUGCAUUGCAGACAAUAGUGCAAAAAAAAAAACAACAACCCAAAAUCAGGUCUAGGAGUAUAUAGCAGACAUUCUCUGUGGUGCUAUUAAGAGUAUAUGUGCAAUUAGCAAUGCACCUAUGAAAAGAGAUGCAUAGCUAGGGGCUAGGGAGGCCAAUCAAUGCCAGUUGAUUGGUGCCUCACCUACUCCUCUUUAAUGUCACUUUCGAACCUACUCUUCCUUGAUAGGGAAGGGGUGGAGGCAGUCCAGUGUAUGCCUUAACAUCUUUGACUCAGGACAAGUGAACUACAUUGGAGGUCUGUUUUCCCCUGUAGUACAAUGGAGGUCAGGAAGGAGUCAGGUCAUGACCCAGUUUAAAGAGCAUCUGUGGCUGAGUGGACAGAGACAAGAGUGCUCCAAUGUGAACUUGAGACUGUUUAGACAAGAGUCAGCUAUGGUUGGAAUAGGAAAAUGAAAGAAGGACGCCUUAGUUCCAUCCCUAUAUUUCAGAGCCGUAACCUUUUGCUAGAGUGCCAGUUCUCUAAAACGGCGAGAAUACUAAUUUAGACAAGUAGCUAUAUACGCCUGUAAGAACAUAAAACUCAAGUGGCACCACAGAGGGAAGCAGGUUUAUUUGGUUUGAACUGGAAAUGGCAACAUCCUGCAAUACAAGAUGCUUGGCGUUGACUGUGAUUUGAAAGGGUAUGUUCCCCGAGGUGCACUAGACAGGGGAUAAGCACAAGUUCAGAUACAUUUGCUGGAGCGUUAUUAUUAACAAGAGCUUAUAAUUAAUUAAAUAAUAUUACACAAUUAAUGUGAUUUUUACUAAUUAAUCAAGCUAUAAAUUGAGCCAUGGGCCUACGCAGCUAAGAAGAGGGGGAUCUAACAAUGUAACUGAUUAAUUAUAAUUGAUUAAUCAACCACAGUUGUACAGUGGUACCUCAGGUUACAGACGCUUCAGGUUGCAGACUCUGCUAACCCAGAAAUAGUACCUUGGGUUAAGAACUUUGCUUCAGGAUGAGAACAGAAAUCGGGUGGUGGCGGCGUGGCAGCAGUGGGAGGCCCCAUUAGCUAAAGUGGUACCUCAGGUUAAGAACAGUUUCAGCUUAAGAACGGACCUCCAGAACGAAUUAAGUUCUUAACCUGAGGUACCACUGUGGUUGAUUAAUCUGCCAGUCAAAAGCUGUAACCCUUAUGUUUGCAAUUACUGAAGCACUAGGUAAAAUACAAAAAAUGGCAAGCACUUACAAGCAAUGACAGGAAGGGCAGACAGACAUCUUUUAUGCCAACAGUUGAAUGAAGAAGACUCCUUUUGUGCAUUUAUGAUUCUAGGAUGGUUUGUGCUUGUAGGUUUCACAGAAGUGGGGAAAUGGUUCCUAUGGUUAUGCAAGUCUUAGGACAAUAAGAAGAGCAGUGGCAUUUAAGACUCAGAGAAGACAGGGCACUGUAGCUAUAUGAGAUCAGAAAGUUAUACCAAAUCAGACCAUUGGUCCAUCCAGCCCAAUGCUCUUAUCAUUAACUGGCAGUGGCUGCCCAGGGUUCUGAUAGAAGUCUUUCCCAACCUUACUUGGAUAAAUUGGGGAUUGGUUUGUGGCCCAUAUAACAUUUCCUUAAUGCUCCACCUGACAGAAUACAGAUGGAGCAUCUUUGAGGAAACUGCAGAUGUUAAUUGCUAUUCAUGGGUGUAGUCAGGAUUCAUUUUAGGGGGGGCAAGCUUUAUGUUGGGGGGGCAGAACCAAUAUAUCUGUGAUACAAUUGGUCAGUUAGUUAAGUAUUUAUAUUUAUUUACUUGAUUUAGGGAGGGCAUGUGCCCCUCAGCUACGCCCAUGUUGCUAUUGGCUUAAAAGUCCCAUAUUAUUUAGAGUAGGUAAAUGUCAGAAGGAAUCAUAGGAAAAUGUGUUUCAUACGGGUUGAAAUUAAAGGGAUUGGGGGAGAAUAUGUAUGUAUGGUGUUUCUGUCCUGCCAUGUUGUAUUUUUAUUCUUACUUUUGUCAUUGGGUAUUACUGUUGUGUCCAACUUUCAAAGUGGAUUGAACAGGCUAACCUUUUCAGUUGCUUGUCCCCAGGCAAAACUUUGAGGCCUAUGAGAUGUGGAUGCUCAACAAAUAACUUCAUUUUGCAGGGCUAGAUGUAGCUAUCUGUGUGGUAGUUGUUUACAUUUAACCACCAGGAGGAAUACGCACAGAGACAUGGUUAAGCUUGGCAUUAUAAUAGCGACCAUGGUCACUACUAAUCAGUAAAACCCUUAUAGCCAGAAUUUCAAGCCAAUGUAUGAAGUGCGUAUACAAACCCUGGGAAGAUGGGAAUUUGAAUAGUAUUAACUAUGCUUAGCACCGAUGCACUUGUGAUGGGCGGGGGGACGGUCUUACAAGAGAAUUUUCAUUGAGGGAAAGAGGGAAGGGGAGGUAGCGAAUGAUUCUGAGUUUGACUUGGAACCAGCAUUAAAGUCUACACCGGACUAAUGUGCCUGCAAAUUUGGUGUUAAAAGUAUAGGCACCUAUGGAGAAUUUAGCUUUUAUUGGUAUGCUUUCAUCAUCAGGCUUCUUAGUAUGCCUGCAUCAUAAUUCUGCCACCUAUAACAGGUACCUUUCCUUUCAUUCAUCUCACACAGUGUUUCAGUCUGGUCCCUAAGGUACUGGGUUUGAGACAUGUUUUAUUAACAUUCUAGAGUUGUUCUCUCCUGACUAACCGACCAUUAGCUGGCUCACUGAUCCUUAACUGCAGAUCACUCUCUUAUUUAGGCUACAUUUCCCUUAGGUUCCAAAAUAAUUAGUCUCACGGCUAUGGAUGGGAUUUCCUGUCAAGUGAUGUGAAUAUAGAUGGAGUACCUCAUUCAAUGGCGG